CCGUAAUGUUGCAGCUCAAAGCAGCUUUUCUAGCUCAGUUCAUUCUGACAUUCAGCUAAUGAAUCAACACAGCAGAUGGUGAUCCAUGCUGUGGAAGUCUCACAUCUCCUGAUUUAAUGGAGCUGCUUUGCACUUUUUACACUGUUUAUUCACCAACACUUUAUUUAAUAAAAGUCCCAUCUAGUUUUUAUGAGGAAUGUGGUGUUUUAAUUUCUCUGUGAAUAACUGCAGUCUAAUGCAACAGCUGGAGUUGUAACAUCUGUCCUGAUAUUGAUCAUGAAGUAUUGAUCAGAAUACUUAUGGUCAGCAGUCAUCCCUGAAGUUUUACAUUAAAAUCUUUACUUGUGUUGUGAACUUUGGCAAGAAGCAGAAACGUUAGUGUUGCCAUGGAUACAUGAGUGUUAAAUUCUGUCCAUGUUUUAUUUUGGGAAUGCAGUCCAGUUCCAGAAUGUGGAGGAAUUUAUUCUCAAUCACAGACAACAAAUAUUAUCUGAAAGUUGGGUUAUUGUUGUUUAUCAGCACAAUACAAAAAGAUUAAUGUUAGAAAUAUUCCAGUUCAGACUCUAGAAUAUCAUGAUUUAUGUAAAUUUACCUCAAUAAUAUGAAUGUUCAGGUUAAGAUUGUACAGUGAUAUUUAUUAUGUAAGUUUAGCUGAUUAAAGUUUAAGACUCUGCACCAAAAUAUUAUUUAAAUUGACAGCAAUAUUAUUUGACACAAAUCUAUCUAAAUCAAAAUUUUAAUAAUUUUCACACCAAACAUUUACUGGACUGAUUUAAACAUUAAAAUCACUCCUUUCUAAUCCUCUGCUGUAUGUUCAAACCUGAGGCCUUAAAUAGAAACACACAAGUAUCUGAUUGAAGGAACUUCUGCAGAGUCUUGGUUCCAGAACAUGAUGAUAGAAUUAUAGACAAACUUUAACAAAAGCUGCAUGAGAGUUUACAGGUUUUUAUGUUGGAUUUCUUCAGUAAUUUAAUGAGUUAUCAGCAAAAAUCAAGUGUUUAUUUGAUGAACUUCAUUUCCUAAAACAUCCAGAAUUGGAGCUCAUAUCUUUGGCAGCUGUAAAGUUUCUGCUCCUUCAAAGUUCACAACACAAUGAAUGAAUUCCUAAAACACUCUCAAUGCUGGAGAGCGUUUGAUGCUGAAGCAGUGACCAGUUUUUCUGUUUCUUCUCUGGAGAUGCACAAUGAGGGACGUCUGCAGAGACUGAGAAAGAGUCUCACCACAUCCUGACAUGAGGAAAAAGACUUUAUUGAAGACUACAAUGAGAAAAACUAUCAGACAGCAGACGGCUGCAUUCAAGUCUGUAGGUGCUGAAUUCAUGGAUGAAUCAUCUGGCACUAGAGAAGAAGACCAUCAAACAUCCACGUCAGCUGAUGGAGGUCCAAGAGUCUCACCAAACAACCUACAGAGUGAAGACCUCGAAUCUGAUUGGACGGCCUCCUAUUCAGCCACAUGUGUGAACAAAUGCCUCUAAGUUGAUUUGUUUUCUAAAAUAAAUCUAGUUUGAGUUCUAA
Molecule: long non-coding RNA, 1514 nt
Organism: Amphiprion ocellaris (clown anemonefish)
Lineage: Eukaryota; Metazoa; Chordata; Actinopteri; Pomacentridae
Exons: 2
Source: RefSeq, a predicted model, not a curated record